AACGCACGAGACCUGCGGACCUGCGGAAGGAUCAUUACUGAGUGAGGGCCCCUCGGGGUCCAACCUCCCACCCGUGUUUAACGAACCUUUGUUGCUUCGGCGGGCCCGCCUCACGGCCGCCGGGGGGCUCCUGCCCCCGGGCCCGCGCCCGCCGAAGCCCCCCCUUGAACGCUGUCUGAAGUUUGCAGUCUGAGAAACUAGCUAAAUUAGUUAAAACUUUCAGCAAUGGAUCUCUAGAUC
RNAcentral lists this unclassified non-coding RNA (240 nucleotides) under soil metagenome. RNAcentral describes it as "partial contains 5.8S ribosomal RNA, internal transcribed spacer 2, and large subunit ribosomal RNA". The record is from RNAcentral.